This 574-nucleotide long non-coding RNA is filed under the name Salmo salar (Atlantic salmon). RNAcentral's name for it is "lncRNA (ENSSSAG00000087162.1)". Lineage: Eukaryota; Metazoa; Chordata; Actinopteri; Salmoniformes; Salmonidae. The record is from RNAcentral.
UAUUUAGUUAGUUAUUCAGCCAGCCAAUCAGUCAGUCAGCUAUUUAGUUAGUUAUUCAGUCAGUUAUUUAGUUAGUCUCAUGUCUUAUGUCAGUAUACAGAUUCAUUAAGGUGACUUCAAAUCAAGUUUUAUUUGUCAAAUGCUUGGUAAACAACAGGUGUGGACUAACAGUGAAGUGCUUACUGACGGGCCCUUCACAACCAUGCAGAGAGAAACAUAAUAACAAUGAGGAACAAUAACUAGGUACAUACACAGGGUACCAGUACUGAGUCCAUGUGCAGGGAGAGGUAAGAGGUAAUUAAUAACUAGGCUACAUACACAGGGUACCAGUACUGAGCCCAUGUGCAGGGAGAGGUAAGAGGUAAUUAAUAACUAGGUACAUACACAGGGUACCAGUACUGAGUCCAUGUGCAGGGAGAGGUAAGAGGUACUUAAUAACUAGGUACAUACACAGGGUACCAGUACUGAGUCCAUGUGCAGGGAGAGGUAAGAGGUAAUUAAUAACUAGGUACAUACACAGGGUACCAGUACUGAGUCCAUGUGCAGGGAGAGGUAAGAGGUAAUUGAUAACUAG